RNAcentral lists this ribosomal RNA (253 nucleotides) under uncultured bacterium. RNAcentral describes it as "partial 16S ribosomal RNA". It matches the Rfam family "Bacterial small subunit ribosomal RNA", at positions 524 to 776 of the family's 1533-position model. The record is from RNAcentral.
UACGUAGGGCGCAAGCGUUGUCCGGAAUUAUUGGGCGUAAAGAGCUCGUAGGCGGUCGAUCAAGUCAGGGGUGAAAUCCUGCAGCUUAACUGUAGAAGUGCCUUUGAUACUGGUCGUCUCGAGGGAGGUAGGGGUGUGUGGAACUUCCAGUGGAGCGGUGAAAUGCGUUGAUAUUGGAAGGAACGCCGGAGGCGAAAGCGACGCACUGGACCUCUUCUGACGCUGAGGCGCGAAAGCUAGGGGAGCAAACGGG